This 488-nucleotide ribosomal RNA is filed under the name uncultured bacterium. RNAcentral's name for it is "partial 16S ribosomal RNA". It matches the Rfam family "Bacterial small subunit ribosomal RNA", at positions 28 to 507 of the family's 1533-position model. The record is from RNAcentral.
GACGAACGCUGGCGGCGUGCUUAACACAUGCAAGUCGAACGGAAAGGCCCUGCUUUUGUGGGGUGCUCGAUUGGCGAACGGGUGAGUAACACGUGAGUAUCCUGCCCUUGACUUUGGGAUAACUUCUGGAAACUGGGGCUAAUACCGGGGAGGAGCUCCUGCUGCAUGUGGUGGGUUGGAGAGUUUCGGCGUUGGGGGAUGUACUCGGGGCUUAUGCGCUUGUUGGGAGGGUUGUGAGUUACCAAGGUUAGCACGGGUAGCCGGCCUGAGAGGGUGAUCGGCCACCAUGGCACAGAGACACGGUCCAGGCUCCUACGGGAGGCAGCGGCAGGGAAUCUUCCGCAAUGGGCGAAAGCCUGACGGAGCGACGCCGCGUGAGUGAUGAAGGGCUUCGGAGCGUAAAACUCUGUUAUGAGGGAAGAACAAAUGUGUAAGUAACUAUGCACGUCUUGACGGUACCUAAUCAGAAAGCCACGGCUAACUACGUG